UUGGUCUCAGCCAAUGAGAAGAAGGGAUACAAGUGGCGAGUCGCUCUCAGCCAAUCAGAAGCGCUGUUUCACGUGCUUUGGUUUUUGGCGCCAUUUUCAUUCUUCUUUGAACGGUCGCUUUGCCACACUACACGUUGAGAGGAUUUUCUCAAGAAAAUUAGUCAAUUUUUGUCUAAUUUAAUGGCUAAUAAGGCUCAUCCCAAACGUGUAUAGAGAAAAGAAAGAUACGGUUUUGUGUAAGUACGAGAUGGCAGAAAACGUUUUCGUUCAAUUGUGUUUGAUACAGCCGUGUAGAGGCCAGACCUCUGAAGGAUGAUCAAGUGACUUAUUCUUAAAUGAAUAAAUAUAGCAAUUUUUAGGUGCAGAGAGAAAGUCCCCCCGAAGGCCUGGUACGUAAACAGGAACUCUUAAUACAUCCAUCUCCUUUUUUUUUCUUCAAUAAGCAUUCUCAAUUAGGGAGUGUUCAUUAAAUACAUGGGAGAAGGGAAAAAGUGUUCAAAAUGCAAGGGUGGCUCUGAAAUUUUAAGGUGUCUUUAGCGGUGUAAUUAAUGAACACUCCCUUAUUUAGAAAACAGUAAAACCAAUUGCUUUUAAAAGAAGUAUGCAAGUAGCCAUGAAUUGUAGGGGAUGGGGAGGGGGGUAGCACAGUUAUAGCGGCCAGUUCCUAUGAUUUUUAACAGGGAGGGGGAUUUUUUUACCCAUCAAGAAGACUAAUCUCCCUAAUGCAACAUGGCCUAAAGUCUUUGUGGGACUUUUUUUAUUGAACAGGACUUCCAAUCCAAUAGCCUCUCUCGUCUCGUUCAAACCCUGUAUUCCCCCAUUCCUGUCCCUCCCCUCCCACCAAUACAGUACCUUCCAUUAAUUGCAUAAGAAGAGCUAAUCGCUUUGCUGCCAUCAAUUAGUUGUCAUGCACUUUUUUUUCAUGUUGCUGUCCUUACAAGAGUUGUCAUUUUAUUGCUCCAGUUCUUUAUAUGGGUGUUUGCUUUUCAUUUAUCAAAACAUGUGCUUGUAAUGAAUAUCCUUUUUAGGAUGAUUGUUCUGUUUCUUAUUUUGUUAUGUUUUUCUAUUCAAAUGGCUGGAGAGAGUGCCAAAAAAGAUGACAGAUAUCAUGGAGGCUAGAGGGCUCCUGGAGCAUAAACUAAAAGAAAAAAAAAAAAAGAGAGCCACAGGACAGGGCGAGGAAAGAGUUGGCUGGGAAUUAAUUGCUUCCCCGCUAGCUCGCGUAUACAGGGAUAGGUGAAGGGGUUUCCGUGAUCCGUAAUCGGACACAAAUUUGCGCCGAUAAACAGUGAAAUAUUUGCCGUGAAAAAAUCUGUGAAACGUGACCACUCCCUGAUACUAUUCAAAAAAGCCUUACUAAGGUCGUUAGUGAGUUGUGAUUAUAAUUAGUGCCUAUUGCUAUUUUUGUUGCCUUUUUCAAAAUGAUAUUAUCUGUGCUCCGAAAUCGCGAAUAAAUUGGUCUGUGAUUCGUGAUUACUACCCACCUCCCCCUUUCUAUAGAGAAUAAACACAAAUAUGCUGGUA
This is a long non-coding RNA of Nematostella vectensis (starlet sea anemone), 1524 nucleotides long. RefSeq lists it as uncharacterized. NCBI's taxonomy places the organism in Eukaryota, Metazoa, Cnidaria, Anthozoa, Actiniaria, Edwardsiidae. The transcript is spliced from 5 exons. The record is from RefSeq and is a predicted model, not a curated record.